CCGGCACCGGUUCACCCCGCAUCAGGGGACCCGGGGCC
RNAcentral lists this non-coding RNA (38 nucleotides) under Amycolatopsis jejuensis. Its description in RNAcentral is "L31-Actinobacteria ribosomal protein leader". It matches the Rfam family "L31-Actinobacteria ribosomal protein leader". The record is from RNAcentral. Lineage: Bacteria; Bacillati; Actinomycetota; Actinomycetes; Pseudonocardiales; Pseudonocardiaceae.